CUCUUCGACGACGAUGGAAAUGCUGAAAAAUGACAUUGGUCACCGGGGGAAUGGAGGUUGUUCACGUUUGUUGGCCGUAUGUGCGUGCGUCCUCUUAGCUCUGAUGUCGGCACUACUCAUUGUUAUCAUCGUAAGAGAAUAUUCUGCCGGAGAGGUUACAAGAGUGGAUAUCAACUUGAUGGAAACUGUUCACCAGUUACAGAAGCAGGUGGAGCAACAGCAAGCAGAACUUGAUAGGAUGAAAUCAGAUGCGCGUAUGUGCAAAAAUGGCUGUCUGACUAUUUUUGGAG
RNAcentral lists this long non-coding RNA (290 nucleotides) under Priapulus caudatus. RNAcentral describes it as "uncharacterized LOC106810763". The record is from RNAcentral. Lineage: Eukaryota; Metazoa; Priapulida; Priapulimorpha; Priapulimorphida; Priapulidae.